CCUACGGGAGGCAGCAGUGAGGAAUAUUGGUCAAUGGGCUUACGCCUGAACCAGCCAAGUCGCGUGAGGGAAGACUGUCCUAUGGGUUGUAAACCUCUUUUGUCAGGGAGCAAAUGGCGCUACGUGUAGCCUUUUCGAGAGUACCUGAAGAAAAAGCAUCGGCUAACGCCGUGCCAGCAGCCGCGGUAAUACGGAGGAUGCGAGCGUUAUCCGGAUUUUUUGGGUUUAAAGGGUGCGUAGGCGGAAUGCCAAGUCAGCGGUAAAAUCGCGGGGCUCAACCCCGCCCCGCCGUUGAAACUGGCGUUCUUGAGUGGGCGAGAAGUAUGCGGAAUGCGUGGUGUAGCGGUGAAAUGCAUAGAUAUCACGCAGAACUCCGAUUGCGAAGGCAGCAUACCGGCGCCCAACUGACGCUGAAGCACGAAAGCGUGGGUAUCGAACAGGAUUAGAUACCCGUGUAGUC
This 460-nucleotide ribosomal RNA is filed under the name uncultured bacterium. RNAcentral describes it as "partial 16S ribosomal RNA". It matches the Rfam family "Bacterial small subunit ribosomal RNA", at positions 338 to 795 of the family's 1533-position model. The record is from RNAcentral.